CUCGGUUCAGCCAGACAGGUCAUUGCUUCAGCUGUCCAACAUCCAGUUUGUGGUGCUGCACAACAACCCCACUUUUUAGUGGAUAUAUUCAAGCGAACCCAAAGGCUCUUUUAAGAGCCAUCCACAUUGCACAGGUAAGUCAAUUUUGUGUCAUUUUGAAUAAAGUAAUUCCUUAGUAGUUUUUGUAACACCUGUUUAGGGCUGGGUAUUGUUUAAAAUCUUUCGAUCCGGUGCCAAUUUCGAGACCUCAGUUUCGAUACCGGUUCCUAACGAUACGUUUUCGAUACCAUAUGUUUUAAAAUCUAUUGAAACAUUAAAGGCGGAGUCCAUGAUGUUUGAAAGCCAAUGUUGAUAUUUGAAAUCACCUAAACAAACACGCCCCUACCCCAAUAGAAUCCGGACCUUCUGUUGAUAGACCCGCCCCACACAUACGCAACCCGGCAUUUUAUUUUAUUUUAUUUGCUAUGAGUGUGUUUUGGUAGUCGGCCCGUCUUCUUUUCCAAAGCGUUUUUCAAACAUUGUGGACUCCGCCUUUAACAAAAAUACAUUAAACACACACCUUUUAUAACUAUAGAUUUUUAAAACAAAUUCUGGUAACACUUCUCACUCAGGGUAACAUUAUUAAUACAACUGGUUGUGCUUUUUGGACUUAUUAGUUUUUUUAUGAAAAUAAGGAAACAAAAAUAAAGAAAUUAAGAAUAUAAUUAACACUGCUUUAUUUUAUGAAAUGUAAAAUGGUAUUUAGCUUGGACUAACAGUAUUUAAAUAAGUGGGUUCAUUAUAGCUGCAGCUUUGACAAAAGUUAAAAUAUUUAAAUGGGUGACUGAGUUUUACUGAGGAUUUGUAUGCAUGUUUGUUUUUUUGUAAACAACACUCAACUUCAUAAUUAUCAAAAUAUUAAAUACAUUAUAAAAAAGCGAGAAAAAGUAGAAAAAGCGUUCAAUGUAAUUUCAUUCAAGUGAAAUUAGCAAACCAGUUUUUAAUUUGUUUUAAAGGGAUAGUUCGGCCAAAAACGAUAUUAAACCCAUGAUUUACUCACCCCCAAGCUGUCUGAGUUGCAUAUGUCCAUCGUUUUUCAGACAAACACAUUUUCGGAUAUUUUAGAAAAUCCUUUAAAUCUUUCAGUUGAUUAAAUGUAAUGUUACGGGGUCCACCAAUAGUCCACGACCUUCAAGUCCAAAAAAGUGCGUCCAUCCUUCACAAAUUAAAUCCAAACGGCUCCAGGAUGAUAAACAAAGGUCUUCUGAGGGUAAUCCGUGCGGUGUUGUUGUAGAAAUAUCCAUAUUUAAAAUAUUAUUAACGUAAUUAACUACCUUCCAGUAGCGCCGCCAUCUUAGACUCCUCUGUAUUCAGGAUGAGAGCUUACGAUGCUUACGGAGGUUUCUCUGCUGCUGCUCUGUGCCCCGCCCUCCGAAUUUGUCAUACGUCACUAAGAACAUUUUUCAGAAAUCCUCCCCGUCACGUGGUGGUGGACAGCCAAUCGCCGGCGCUUUAGGUCCUUACACGCAAGUACAGGCUCUCACACAGACAUAGCCGCUUGGCUUUUGGAAUAGAAAUUUGGCACCGAAAGAUAAAUAAUUUUUCGUUACUCAAAUUAUCAGAGUUUUCGUUCGAUACCAUAAAAGUAUCAACGUUCGGUACCCAGCCCUACACCUGUUCAUUUACAAUUAUUUUGUAAAUAAUUGACUGCUUUACAAUUCUAUUCCAAUAACAGGGUCAUUUUACCCAAGGAUUGUAAUGUUUAUUGUAAUGCAUAUUAGUGCUGAGCUCAUGAGCUCCUGGUGAUGCGCGCAUUCAUACAGUACCUUCCAUAUUGAUUCUGACACACUUUUGAAGGAAGUGUUACAGAUCAUACUGUAAUUCCUCAAAUAAAGACCGGGGCCUUAUUUACCUAAACGGCUGAAGGUAACAGGCUUUUAUUUGAAGCAGGCUUUUAUUAGAGACAGUCCUUUAUUUCAAAUUCCAUCUGUUUGAUAAAUAAUUGUUUUAAAUUAGCCGUUAAAUAAAAAGUGAUAGCGUUCUAGUGGAUAGAGAUCAUUCAUUUUUAACCAUAAUUUUUUUCAAGGUUGCUGAAAAGUCCGUCACUAGCAUUAAAUGAGACCCAUCCAAUGUAUUUACUGCCAUCUAUUGGCAGCUGUGCAUUAUGAUGAACUUGAAUACAUUUAGGAGAUAACACCGCGCUCACAUUAUCCAAACCAUGCCCCAGCGCGAUCGUCCCCCUCCAUACUCCAUGCACGCACUCAAACUUUACUUUUAUCAAUCUGAGCCCGAGCGAGCUUUCGUCAUUAGAAUGCGUUUGUUUUGAACAAAGCAGGAGGUAAAGCACUCUCUUAACACUGGAACCCAUCGUAAUGUUAAGUCUGUGUUUUUUAUUCAGAGUCGUAUGAAGCCCUCUCACAUGCCUAUGAUAUCGCUUAAUUGAUGUGUCGUGUGUGCAUCGUAGAUAUUCACUUAGCCCUGCUGCGUGCAUUAAAAGGUUUUAACGAAGGCAGAUGAAGGUGAAAGCUUGCACAGUUGAAGUCUCUCCUUUUGAAAGUCGCGAUUGCGCUCACACUGCGCCUAAAAAGCUUUGAAGUAUAAACUGAAGCUUUGUUUAUACUCGCGCUUUGGUCCGCAACACAAGCCUCCGCAGAUCGCGCGCGUGUAUCACCAAACGGACGAGGCGUUUACGGAGCAUUCACACGGGGUGCAAGUAAGCUCUCACUCAUUUCCCCAGACACUCAUCUUUCCAUGGCCUUAAUUUGAGACCAGCCUUUAUUUGUCUGCGAUGAUCACGCCCCCGGCCACUAUCAGAGGCCCGGCGUUUAUUUGAAUAACGGAUUUAAUUUGAGGAAUUACAGUAUAUUUAGUCUGAGGUCAUAUGGAAAGGACGCAAGCAUGUGACCCGUGGAGAUCGUUAAAGGAGUAGUCCACUUUAUAGAUGGGGCCCAUUGACUUACCAUAGUAUUUUUUUUCUUACUAUAAGUCAAUGGACCCCAUCUUUAAAGUGGCCUACUCCUUUAAGUGGGGAGUGGAGAACGAUGAGCUGGGUUUUUUUCCUCAAUUGUCUCCGUCUUGCACGCACACUCGUCUGCACUGCACAUCCUUUCCUAAGUCUGUGCUCUCUUUCUUUAUAAGCAGAUAUCUUAACUUUAAUAUCAUUCAUCACUCACCCAUUCAGCAGUUUAAGUAGAAUUGCACAUAAAGACUGCAUGUCGUGUCUUAAGCAAUUUAUAAUAAACCUAUUGCGUGGCAUUUUAUACACUCUCUUAAUGUACGUACACACCGCCGCAGACCUAAGCUUCCAAAGAAGCUCAGACCGCCUGGUCAAGGAUGCUUGUCAAAAAGUACGGGGAAGCUUGUUGACGCUUUGGCUGCUCUGAAGUCUGUGUCACCAUGAAAUGUUAAUGAAAAAAAAUACAUUGACAUUAUAAACCUUUUAUAAUGACAGCAGUUUUAUAAUCGUUUUGGUCACAUUUGGUCUGGAAAAAAAAUUAUUAGCUAUUAUUAUUAUUAUUACUAUUAUUAUUUUAUUGCAUCUGUGCAAUUGGUUAAAUCUGUGUUACUGUGAAACAUGAAUCACGGAUUACCUGCGAUGUUACUAUAUGGAUUAAUACAUCGUGAUAUCGAUGCUUAAAUGAUACGCUGUGCAGUUCUACUGGCAAGACACAGACACAUUUGAGUAUCUAUCAGUAAAAUAUUAUAAAUCAUCAGCACGCACUUCACAAACUCACCGGGAAAACCAACUAUACCAGCUUUUAUAUCCCAUGCCUCGUUCUUUUGUAACUGGUCCCUAUAUGAAAAUAAUUUAAUAUCAUAAAUGUAUCAUAAAUGAUAGGAAACGACAGCAACAGUGAUUAUCAAUUUCUACACAAAACGAAAGUUAACAUUGUAUGUUAACUGAUGAUGCCGCUGAACUGCGCCAUAGCUUAUUUCCAUAAAGUUGAGCUUCUUUCAUUUUUCUGAUUGACGCUAUGGUCCCUCAAGACGCCCAAAAUGCAACGCUAAUGGAUUUGACGCCCCUUGCAGCUGAGAGAAGCCAGCUUUCAUUGUAAAUGAAUGACUUCCAGUAACUUUGGAAGCUCAAGUCUGCGGCGGUGUGUUUGUACAGUUAUAAUCAGGCUUGUGCAUAAUUUAGAAUUGAAUUGAGAAUGACUCCUGAAUUCCAAUUAAAUUCUUGAAUUUGAAUUGAAUUUAAAUUAAAGGAAGCAGAAUUGCAAUUCAAUAGAAAUUUAUAUAUAUUUAAAAAUGAAGCUUUACAGUAUAUGUCAGAAAUGAUUGCAUUACAUAUUCUAUUAGUUUGAACUACUUGUACAGAUUACAUUAACAGGAAAUGUUUUUCCCUUGCAAUUAAUGUUAAAAACUCAAGUCACAUAACAAAUAAUUAAGUUUGAUUUUUUUGUAAUUGUAAUUUUGUGGAACAUGACUUUAUUUUCCCAGAAUGCUUUACUUUAACAAAGUAUUUAAAAUGGUUGCCAAACAAUUUUCUAAAGUAACUUUCCUAACACUGAAUCUAUUUGAGAUUCUUUCUGUUGUGUGACUGUGGAAUUUUUUUGAAUUGCCAUGAAUUUAAUUCUGCUUCCUGUCAUUCCAAUUCAAAUUCAACUUCCUGUAGGGCGGAGUCAAUUAAAAUACCAAUUCAUGAAUUGAAUGGAGGCCAAUCCUGAAAUUCUAAGUUGUGCACAAGCCCGACAGUCAUGCAUUUAGAAACAAAGACGACAAAGAGCUGCAGGUGUAAAGUGUGUGUUUAGGUGAAGAGAGUUCAGAAAUUGUUUGCGAUACACAGCCCUAGUGGAUAUGACUAACUUGGGAAUGCUGUGUAUGACUUAGGGGAUAGCAGAAACACAAUAGGUUGAUGAUGCUGUAUUUUUUUGUAUAACUUUAAUCAUACCUUGCCUGAACUUUAAACCAAAAUUUGUCUUUUUGUUCUUUUAGGACUUUUUCUAUUGGACGUCUUAUUCAUUAUUACGCUGAAAACGUAUAAAAACGCUGAAAACGUAUAAAAACGCUGAAAACGUAUAAAAACGCUUCUUGUGAUUCUGAAAAAACGCUUCUUGUGAUUCUGAAAAACGCUUCUUGUGAUUCUGAAAACCCCCUUCCUGUGAGCCUUAAAAUCUUCUUCCUGUGAACCCAACUACAAAAACCAAGUUAACAUUGACACCAGUUAGUGAACUACAAUUACUGCAAGAGAAAAGGAGCUCCAAAACAUCUCUUCCAGUACACCUUGCUGCCUGUUGUCUUCAAGAAGGACCACUGAUUCAAGCUCAGCUUUUGAAGACCACUGUUUAACGUUACAUUAGUUACAUUUUUGUGGUGUUGUUUAUCAUACAGGUUUAUUUUAUAAGGUAUAUACAAUUAAAUAGUCUUUCUGUAGUCGUGUUAAUCACAUUUUGAAACAAAAACAUUUACUGUACAGUAGACGUUAAAGUACAUUUGGGUGACAUUUUAUUUAUUAUAAACAUUCUGCUACAUAUUACAUUAGUCUGAGUUAAUAAAUCUGUGCCAGUAUUACAUUAGUCUGAGUUAUAACAUCUGUGUUACAUUAGUCUUAGUUGUUACACCUCUUUUAAGUAUUACAUUAGUUUUGAGUUGUUUAAUCUGUGCUAGAAUUACAUUAGUCUGAGUUAUAACAUCUGUUUUACAUUAGUCUGUGUUAUUACAUUUGGGUUAAGUCUUACACUAGUCAGUUAUAACAUCUGUUUUACAUUAGUCUGUGUUAUUACAUUUGGGUUAAGUCUUACACUAGUCAGUUAUAAUAUCUGUUUUAUAUUCAUCUGAGUUAUUAAAUCUGUGCUAGUAUAUUAUUAGUUCUUUUUUUGCAUUCCUGUUAAUCUCAUAUAUAACUUCAGUGGAUAAGUAAACAGUAAAAAUUUACUUAAAUCUUAUUUAAUCUGUGUUAGGAGAGUGUGAAUCAUACGUGACGUUGUGUGCUGUAUAACACCAUUGUGAUUUAAAGCAUUCGUGCUUACAGUUAAGCAAUAUUUUCAUAUAUUUGUGUGUCAUAUAUUUAACUUCAUUGAGUAAUUGAUUGCAUAAUAGACAUUACCUGUGGCUAUAAGUUCAUAAUCAGUCAUAUAUUUUAAAAUUGAUCUGUUUAAGCAUUACAUCUGCUCCACCUAGUUGCUUUGUAUAUCUCAAUACUUUACUGUGUAGUUGAUUAUAUAGGCAUUUUAUACAAGUAAAAAGAUACUAA
Non-coding RNA from Paramisgurnus dabryanus, 6172 nucleotides. Lineage: Eukaryota; Metazoa; Chordata; Actinopteri; Cypriniformes; Cobitidae. The record is from RefSeq and is a predicted model, not a curated record.